Molecule: ribosomal RNA, 464 nt
Filed under: uncultured bacterium
Lineage: Bacteria
Description: bacterial SSU rRNA
Rfam family: Bacterial small subunit ribosomal RNA
Source: RNAcentral
CCUANGGGGGGCAGCAGUGGGGAAUAUUGGACAAUGGGCGCAAGCCUGAUCCAGCAAUACCGCGUGCGUGAAGAAGGCCCUAGGGUUGUAAAGCACUUUCAAUAGGGAGGAAAACCUGCCGGUCAAUACCCGGUAGCUUGACAUUACCUAUACAAGAAGCACCGGCUAACUCCGUGCCAGCAGCCGCGGUAAUACGGAGGGUGCAAGCGUUAAUCGGAAUCACUGGGCGUAAAGCGCGUGUAGGCGGCCUCGUAAGUCUGGUGUGAAAGCCCGGGGCUUACCCCCGGAAGUGCACUGGAAACUGCAAGGCUUGAGUACCGGAGAGGAAGGUGGAAUUCCUGGUGUAGCGGUGAAAUGCGUAGAUAUCAGGAGGAACACCAGUGGCGAAGGCGGCCUUCUGGACGGAUACUGACGCUGAGACGCGAAAGCGUGGGGAGCAAACAGGAUUAGAUACCCUUNUANUC